GCGGUGGAUGAUGUGGAUUAAUUCGAUGCAACGCGAAGAACCUUACCUACCCUUGACAUGUCCGGAACUUGCCAGAGAUGGCUUGGUGCCCGAAAGGGAACCGGAACACAGGUGCUGCAUGGCUGUCGUCAGCUCGUGUCGUGAGAUGUUGGUUAAGUCCCGCAACGAGCGCAACCCUUGUCCUUAGUCGCUACGCAAGAGCACUCUAAGGAGACUGCCGGUGACAAACCGGAGGAAGGUGGGGAUGACGUCAAGUCCUCAUGGCCCUUAUGGGUAGGGCUUCACACGUCAUACAAUGGUCGGUACAGAGGGUUGCCAAGCCGCGAGGUGGAGCCAAUCCCACAAAGCCGAUCGUAGUCCGGAUUGUUCUCUGCAACUCGAGAGCAUGAAGUCGGAAUCGCUAGUAAUCGCAGGUCAGCAUACCGCGGUGAAUACGUUCCCGGGUCUU
RNAcentral lists this ribosomal RNA (448 nucleotides) under uncultured Thiobacillus sp. Its description in RNAcentral is "bacterial SSU rRNA". It matches the Rfam family "Bacterial small subunit ribosomal RNA", at positions 929 to 1382 of the family's 1533-position model. Lineage: Bacteria; Pseudomonadati; Pseudomonadota; Betaproteobacteria; Nitrosomonadales; Thiobacillaceae. The record is from RNAcentral.